This 482-nucleotide ribosomal RNA is filed under the name uncultured bacterium. RNAcentral's name for it is "partial 16S ribosomal RNA". It matches the Rfam family "Bacterial small subunit ribosomal RNA", at positions 30 to 507 of the family's 1533-position model. The record is from RNAcentral.
AUUGAACGCUGGCGGCAUGCUUUACACAUGCAAGUCGAACGGUAACAGGCCGCAAGGUGCUGACGAGUGGCGAACGGGUGAGUAAUGCAUCGGAACGUGCCCAGUCGUGGGGGAUAACUACUCGAAAGAGUAGCUAAUACCGCAUACGAUCUAUGGAUGAAAGCGGGGGACCGUAAGGCCUCGCGCGAUUGGAGCGGCCGAUGUCAGAUUAGGUAGUUGGUGGGGUAAAGGCUCACCAAGCCAACGAUCUGUAGCUGGUCUGAGAGGACGACCAGCCACACUGGGAGUGAGACACUGCCCAGACUCCUACGGGAGGCAGCAGUGGGGAAUUUUGGACAAUGGGAGCAAGCCUGAUCCAGCAAUGCCGCGUGCAGGAAGAAGGCCUUCGGGUUGUAAACUGCUUUUGUACGGAACGAAACGGCUCUGGUUAAUACCCGGGGCUAAUGACGGUACCGUAAGAAUAAGCACCGGCUAACUACGUG